AUGGAGCGUGACAGCGGCUUCAACUUCUUUUCACAGCUGCCGUCGGUUCUGGGCUCGUCAGCCGCUAGCUUCAACAUCUACUCUCAGGUGUCUUCGAGCAGCGCCGCCCACGCUCCCAGGGCGGGCCUUGAUGGACUUGACCUCAACUUCAACUUACAGGGGGCCGAGGAGUUCCCUCAUAUCGGGGAAUAUGAGAACUACCUUCAGUCCGGUGGCGACCAAGGAGGAAGUACCACGCGGGGCUCUGGUCUCCCUACCCUUCGCACACAGCGCACACUGGGAGUACGCAACCUGUGGAUGGAAGAGGAGCAUGUUGAAGAUGCAUGGGGAGAUGAUGCUUCAGAGGACGUUGCAACUCCUAUGAGUACAGAUACUCGCAAGACCAAGAGUCAACAAGUGAUCCAACAAGCACACUUUGUGAAAAUGGAAUCUAAAAAAGAGAAGGAAUACUUUUCAGUGAAGAAGUGUCAAGAGCUGGCUUUUGAGUGUGGGAUAGAGCAUGAUAGUGCUGAGGUGUAUGCAAUGGGCAAGAUGUUCCAAGAUCCUUUCCAGCGGGAAUUCUUCUGCGGGCAAUGGACAAAUGAGGAAGGCGGUGAUGCAUCAAGUGAUGAUGGAGGCAGCACAUCAUCAAGUGAGGAUGAGCUUCUGUCGAUGGCCCUCAACAAUUUGAAGACGGCCUAGGAAUUGAUUC
Molecule: long non-coding RNA, 691 nt
Filed under: Oryza sativa Indica Group (long-grained rice)
Lineage: Eukaryota; Viridiplantae; Streptophyta; Magnoliopsida; Poales; Poaceae
Description: lncRNA OsMH63_01G020550
Source: RNAcentral